This 71-nucleotide transfer RNA is filed under the name bacterium CG10_49_38. RNAcentral's name for it is "tRNA-Ile". RNAcentral also lists the same sequence under 1 other name. The record is from RNAcentral.
GUAGCUCAGUUGGUAGUAGCAAGCGUCUUAUACACGCUAGGUCCCUGGUUCGAGCCCAGGCGCGCGCACCA